This 245-nucleotide ribosomal RNA is filed under the name uncultured Oscillospiraceae bacterium. Its description in RNAcentral is "partial 16S ribosomal RNA". It matches the Rfam family "Bacterial small subunit ribosomal RNA", at positions 524 to 768 of the family's 1533-position model. Lineage: Bacteria; Bacillati; Bacillota; Clostridia; Eubacteriales; Oscillospiraceae. The record is from RNAcentral.
UACGUAGGUGGCAAGCGUUAUCCGGAUUUACUGGGUGUAAAGGGCGGGUAGGCGGGACUACAAGUCAGAUGUGAAAUUCCAGGGCUCAACCCUGGAACUGCAUUUGAAACUGUAGUUCUUGAGUGAUGGAGAGGCAGGCGGAAUUCCGAGUGUAGCGGUGAAAUGCGUAGAUAUUCGGAGGAACACCAGUGGCGAAGGCGGCCUGCUGGACAUUAACUGACGCUGAGGCGCGAAAGCGUGGGGAG